Molecule: transfer RNA, 77 nt
Filed under: Haloarcula mannanilytica
Lineage: Archaea; Methanobacteriati; Methanobacteriota; Halobacteria; Halobacteriales; Haloarculaceae
Description: Haloarcula sp. MD-130 tRNA-Glu
Rfam family: tRNA
About the family: Transfer RNA (tRNA) molecules are approximately 80 nucleotides in length. Their secondary structure includes four short double-helical elements and three loops (D, anti-codon, and T loops). Further hydrogen bonds mediate the characteristic L-shaped molecular structure. tRNAs have two regions of fundamental functional importance: the anti-codon, which is responsible for specific mRNA codon recognition, and the 3' end, to which the tRNAs corresponding amino acid is attached (by aminoacyl-tRNA synthetases). tRNAs cope with the degeneracy of the genetic code in two manners: having more than one tRNA (with a specific anti-codon) for a particular amino acid; and 'wobble' base-pairing, i.e. permitting non-standard base-pairing at the 3rd anti-codon position.
Source: RNAcentral
UGCUCCAUUGGUGUAGCUCGGCCAAUCAUCUCGGCAUCUCACGCCGAGGACCGAGGUUCAAAUCCUCGACGGAGUAU